RNAcentral lists this long non-coding RNA (268 nucleotides) under Capsella rubella. RNAcentral's name for it is "long non-coding RNA (CRUB_LNC000633)". The record is from RNAcentral. Lineage: Eukaryota; Viridiplantae; Streptophyta; Magnoliopsida; Brassicales; Brassicaceae.
CUUUUCUCUGUAUAAAAAUUACGAAAUCACAUUACGAAAUUUGUUUGUUCUAAUUAUCUGAUUAAAUAAAGUCUGAAUUAGGUGUUGAUUGGUUCUCCCACUCUCAGCUGCCUAGCGGUUGGUAGCGGGCGAUUGCAAUUGUGAGCGAUUAGUACCAUUCACACAAAACGCUCCAAAACGCUUCUAAUCGCUCAAAAUUGCUGGAUUUCAAAAGCUCCUUCCCGCAAGCGUUUGCGAUUGCGGGCGUUUGCAGUUGGUUAAAAAAAAA